This 253-nucleotide ribosomal RNA is filed under the name uncultured bacterium. RNAcentral describes it as "partial 16S ribosomal RNA". It matches the Rfam family "Bacterial small subunit ribosomal RNA", at positions 524 to 776 of the family's 1533-position model. The record is from RNAcentral.
UACAGAGGGUGCGAGCGUUGUCCGGAAUCACUGGGCGUAAAGGGCGCGUAGGCGGCCUGAUAAGUAGGGGGUGAAAUCCUGCGGCUUAACCGCAGGGCUGCCUUCUAAACUGUCAGGCUCGAGCACAGUAGAGGCAGGUGGAAUUCCCGGUGUAGCGGUGGAAUGCGUAGAGAUCGGGAAGAACAUCGGUAGCGAAGGCGGCCUGCUGGGCUGUUGCUGACGCUGAGGCGCGACAGCGUGGGGAGCAAACAGG